GACGAACGCUGGCGGCGUGCUUAACACAUGCAAGUCGAGCGGAAAGGCCCUUCGGGGUCCUCGAGCGGCGAACGGGUGAGUAACACGUGAGUAACCUGCCCCAGACUUUGGGAUAACCCUCGGAAACGGGGGCUAAUACCGGAUACGACACAGCUUCGCAUGGGGUCUGUGUGGAAAGUUUUUCGGUUUGGGAUGGGCUCGCGGCCUAUCAGCUUGUUGGUGGGGUGAUGGCCUACCAAGGCGACGACGGGCAGCCGGCCUGAGAGGGCGACCGGCCACACUGGGACUGAGACACGGCCCAGACUCCUACGGGAGGCAGCAGUGGGGAAUAUUGCACAAUGGGCGGAAGCCUGAUGCAGCGACGCCGCGUGAGGGAUGACGGCCUUCGGGUUGUAAACCUCUUUCAGCAGGGACGAAGCGUAAGUGACGGUACCUGCAGAAGAAGCGCCGGCCAACUACGUG
RNAcentral lists this ribosomal RNA (462 nucleotides) under uncultured bacterium. RNAcentral describes it as "partial 16S ribosomal RNA". It matches the Rfam family "Bacterial small subunit ribosomal RNA", at positions 28 to 507 of the family's 1533-position model. The record is from RNAcentral.